AAGGACGUUAAUCGAACGGACAAAGCAGGGCGAGUCACAAGGUUGCAUUGUGCGCACAAAAACCGGGAGAUAUGAACGAGGAGAUUGACUGUUCAGUAAAGACAGGAGCGCCCGAUGAUUCCCAAGCUGCGGUAUUUUGCUUUAUAUAGAGGUAUUGGGGAAGUGAAUGACUUGGAAAUUUCACACGGGAAGCUGUCUUGUGAAGUUUGUGUACACGAUGUGUUACAAAGUUGACUGCAAGAAGUGUGGGAAGACCACAUGGGGUGGGUGUGGGAAGCACCUGACCACUCUCUAUAAGAGCAUCGAGAAGGGCAAGCACUGCACGUGCAACUCGUGGCCUGGCGUCGUCAUGCCCUCGUCGGAGGAGCAAGCAUCGGCUUCAUCUGCCGCCGGAAAGUAGGACGAGAGACCUCCAAGGUGCCACGAGUCCCAGCGUAGUAGCUCAGGUCUUGGGUGGGGCUCAAAUGAAAUAAGAAGCACCAAGUAAUGGAGAGAGAAACGAAGGAAUGUGGUGGAUACCAUCGUGUCCUUUUCUUUUCUCGCACAUCUAAUUUUCGAUGCUUGCCUUAGAAGACCGGCGUGUCGGUAGACAGAGAUUGGAACAAUGAUGGGGUGGUUCGAGCGUGGUCGACGUAAAUUGACCAAUAAUGCUCGAAUCCAGUGUGCUGCUUCGUAAGCAAUGUAUAAUAUUCAAAAGUUAAA
Molecule: long non-coding RNA, 702 nt
Organism: Rhodamnia argentea
Lineage: Eukaryota; Viridiplantae; Streptophyta; Magnoliopsida; Myrtales; Myrtaceae
Exons: 2
Source: RefSeq, a predicted model, not a curated record